UGGCGGCAGGCCUAACACAUGCAAGUCGAGCGGUAACAUUUCUAGCUUGCUAGAAGAUGACGAGCGGCGGACGGGUGAGUAACGCGUAGAAAUUUACCUAGUAGUGGGGGAUAGCCCAGAGAAAUUUGGAUUAAUGCCGCAUACGCCCUACGGGGGAAAGCGGGGGAUCUUCGGACCUCGUGCUAUUAGAUGAGUCUGCGUCGGAUUAGCUUGUUGGUGAGGUAAUGGCUCACCAAGGCGACGAUCCGUAGCUGGUCUGAGAGGAUGACCAGCCACACUGGAACUGAGACACGGUCCAGACUCCUACGGGAGGCAGCAGUGGGGAAUAUUGCACAAUGGGCGCAAGCCUGAUGCAGCCAUGCCGCGUGUGUGAAGAAGGCCUUAGGGUUGUAAAGCACUUUCAGCAGUGAGGAAAGGGGUGUCGUUAAUAGCGCCAUCCUGUGACGUUAACUGCAGAAGAAGGACCGGCUAACUCCGUG
Molecule: ribosomal RNA, 479 nt
Filed under: uncultured bacterium
Lineage: Bacteria
Description: bacterial SSU rRNA
Rfam family: Bacterial small subunit ribosomal RNA
Source: RNAcentral